This 786-nucleotide ribosomal RNA is filed under the name uncultured bacterium. RNAcentral's name for it is "bacterial SSU rRNA". It matches the Rfam family "Bacterial small subunit ribosomal RNA", at positions 8 to 796 of the family's 1533-position model. The record is from RNAcentral.
AGAGUUUGAUCCUGGCUCAGAACGAACGCUGGCGGCGUGCUUAACACAUGCAAGUCGAGUGCGCGCCUGUAGCAAUACAGGUGGCGCACGGCGCACGGGUGCGUAACACGUGGGUAAUCUGCCCUCUGAUGGGGAAUAACUCGCCGAAAGGCGAGCUAAUUCCGCAUAACAUUCCGGGAACCUUGGUUCUUGGACUCAAAGGCGUAAGUCGUCGGAGGAGGAGCCCGCGCACGAUUAGCUAGUUGGUGAGGUAAUGGCUCACCAAGGCUAUGAUCGUUAGCUGGUCUGAGAGGAUGGCCAGCCACACUGGAACUGAGACACGGUCCAGACUCCUACGGGAGGCAGCAGUGGGGAAUCUUGCACAAUGGGCGAAAGCCUGAUGCAGCGACGCCGCGUGGGGGAUGAAGCUUCUCGGAGUGUAAACCCCUUUCGACCCGGACGAAUACCUCGCAAGAGGGGUGACGGUACGGGUAUAAGAAGCCCCGGCUAACUACGUGCCAGCAGCCGCGGUAAGACGUAGGGGGCCAGCGUUGUUCGGAAUUACUGGGUGUAAAGGGUUCGUAGGCGGUGUGGCAAGUCGGGAGUGAAAUCUCUGGGCUCAACCCAGAGUCUGCUUCCGAAACUGCUGUGCUUGAGUGUGGGAGAGGCGCGUGGAAUUGCAGGUGUAGCGGUGAAAUGCGUAGAUAUCUGCAGGAACACCCGUGGCGAAAGCGGCGCGCUGGACCACUACUGACGCUGAGGAACGAAAGCUAGGGGAGCAAACAGGAUUAGAUACCCUAGUAGUCC